UUAAAUUGAAGAGUUUGAUCAUGGCUCAGAUUGAACGCUGGCGGCAGGCCUAACACAUGCAAGUCGAACGGUAACAGGAAGCAGCUUGCUGCUUUGCUGACGAGUGGCGGACGGGUGAGUAAUGUCUGGGAAACUGCCUGAUGGAGGGGGAUAACUACUGGAAACGGUAGCUAAUACCGCAUAACGUCGCAAGACCAAAGAGGGGGACCUUCGGGCCUCUUGCCAUCGGAUGUGCCCAGAUGGGAUUAGCUAGUAGGUGGGGUAAAGGCUCACCUAGGCGACGAUCCCUAG
Molecule: ribosomal RNA, 291 nt
Filed under: Escherichia coli LAU-EC6
Lineage: Bacteria; Pseudomonadati; Pseudomonadota; Gammaproteobacteria; Enterobacterales; Enterobacteriaceae
Description: partial 16S ribosomal RNA
Rfam family: Bacterial small subunit ribosomal RNA
Source: RNAcentral